This 399-nucleotide ribosomal RNA is filed under the name uncultured bacterium. Its description in RNAcentral is "bacterial SSU rRNA". It matches the Rfam family "Archaeal small subunit ribosomal RNA", at positions 339 to 742 of the family's 1478-position model. The record is from RNAcentral.
GCGCGAAAACUUUGCAAUGCGGGAAACCGUGACAAGGGAACUCUGAGUGCCCGUUAAAUCGGGCUGUCCAUCGGUUUAAAUAACCGGUGAAGAAAGGGCCGGGCAAGACCGGUGCCAGCCGCCGCGGUAAUACCGGCGGCUCGAGUGGUGGCCACUAUUACUGGGCUUAAAGCGUUCGUAGCUGGUUUGUUAAGUCUCUGGGGAAAUCUUCCGGCUUAACCGGAAGGCGUUUCAGGGAUACUGGCAGACUAGGGACCGGGAGAGGUGAGAGGUACUCCAGGGGUAGGAGUGAAAUCCUGUAAUCCUUGGGGGACCACCUGUGGCGAAGGCGUCUCACCAGAACGGCUCCGACAGUGAGGGACGAAAGCUGGGGGAGCAAACCGGAUUAGAAACCCUGGU